Molecule: ribosomal RNA, 264 nt
Filed under: uncultured bacterium
Lineage: Bacteria
Description: partial 16S ribosomal RNA
Rfam family: Bacterial small subunit ribosomal RNA
Source: RNAcentral
ACGAACGCUGGCGGCGUGCCUAACACAUGCAAGUCGAACGGAGAUGUUUGAAAGCUUGCUGAUAGACAUCUUAGUGGCGCACGGGUGAGUAACACGUGGGCAACCUACCCGGGAGUUCGGGAUAACAGUGCGAAAGUACUGCUAAUACCGGAUAUUUCACGAAGCUGCAUGGUUUGUGAAGAAAGUUUUCGCUUCCCGGAUGGGCCCGCGUCCCAUUAGCUAGUUGGUGAGGUAACAGCUCACCAAGGCGACGAUGGGUAGCUG